CACUACGCUUUGCUUCC
This 17-nucleotide unclassified non-coding RNA is filed under the name Mus musculus (house mouse). RNAcentral describes it as "oocyte_clustered_small_RNA9902". The record is from RNAcentral. Lineage: Eukaryota; Metazoa; Chordata; Mammalia; Rodentia; Muridae.